Molecule: non-coding RNA, 468 nt
Organism: Parasteatoda tepidariorum (common house spider)
Lineage: Eukaryota; Metazoa; Arthropoda; Arachnida; Araneae; Theridiidae
Source: RefSeq, a predicted model, not a curated record
CAAGACAUGCUAUACAUUUCUAUCCCUUUUUGUUUUUUCUUUAAUAGAUUUUUUUUUUGAAUCGUCGGUCAUUUUUAGAACAACCAGUAUAAAAAAAUAUUCCAUUUUUAAAGGAGUGGACGAGAAAAAACAUCUGAAGGAAAGGCCACAGUCCCGAAUUCCGAUGAACCAGCAAAAUUAAAAGUUCGCUUUGAUAUAUUAUCCUUCUCAUCAGAUUACUGGGUUUUGGAUACCAACUAUGAUGAGUAUACUGUGGUAUACAGUUGUUUUAACAUGCUGAAAGGUUAUGAAACUGAAUUCGUCUGGAUUAUGUCUCGAUCAACAACUUUAAGUGAAGCCACAAAGGACAAAGCUUACAAGCUGCUAAAAGCCUAUAACAUCGAUACUGAAAACCUAAGAACAACUGAUCAAGACUGUUGAAAAUUCUUCUGUGUUUAAUGUAAAUAAAGAAGAAAAUUUCUUUUGGAA